Molecule: long non-coding RNA, 203 nt
Filed under: Ictidomys tridecemlineatus (thirteen-lined ground squirrel)
Lineage: Eukaryota; Metazoa; Chordata; Mammalia; Rodentia; Sciuridae
Description: lncRNA (ENSSTOG00000033547.1)
Source: RNAcentral
AUGCUUUGGUGAACCCUCAAUCAAAAUGGAACAUUCAAAUCUCUCAAGGAAUCUUCCUUUUUAAUUGGAGCACCUCAGCCAUUCAUUGAAUAUGGGCCAAUUGAUCCCCAGAUGGACUGUCCCCUGGUAUGCUGGCCAACCUUCUCAUGGAAAACAAUUACAAACACAGGAUACAAUUCUUUAAAACUUAUCAUAAAUGCAUA